CGCGGGGGACGGCCUUCGCGCAACAUGUACAACAGCGGGACGGCCCGC
Molecule: non-coding RNA, 48 nt
Filed under: Pseudomonas lutea
Lineage: Bacteria; Pseudomonadati; Pseudomonadota; Gammaproteobacteria; Pseudomonadales; Pseudomonadaceae
Description: Guanidine-II sequence
Rfam family: Guanidine-II riboswitch aptamer (mini-ykkC)
About the family: Simpler in structure and has fewer highly conserved nucleotide positions than the ykkC-yxkD leader. Despite this each of its two stem-loop structures directly bind free guanidine.
Source: RNAcentral